RNAcentral lists this long non-coding RNA (1051 nucleotides) under Heterocephalus glaber (naked mole-rat). RNAcentral describes it as "lncRNA (ENSHGLG00100049507.1)". The record is from RNAcentral. Lineage: Eukaryota; Metazoa; Chordata; Mammalia; Rodentia; Bathyergidae.
GGGGGGGGAGCGGUUGCCAUGGCGCUUGGAGCGCGGCCGCAUACUAAUGGGCGGCUACGGACGCUGCCCCCACAGCUGCCCCCGCCGGCCGCGCUCUCCUCCAACUCCUACCUCCAGCGUCCUCCAAGUCGCCCCACCGCGGCCCACGCACCCCACCCGGGGCCUGAGUCCCUUGCCUGGACCUCCCGUCUGCGCCAGGCAGGCCCAGGGGCAAAAGGCGGCUCGGGGGUCCGCUGCGGGCAACCUGGCCUGGGCGCAGGCACCAAGCAGGCAUGGCUUCUGGAAGCACAGCUGACAGAAGAGGUACCAGGAACCCCCAGUCUGAUGGAGAUCAGGCAGCUCUGGACACCACAAACAGACAUAGACACACAGGAACAUUUGGCCAUUCCUGGGUGGUUCUUGAAGGCUUCCUAAAAGAGGUUCUGCUGGAGAGUGUCCGAGCCUUUGUGACAAACUGAUGGCCUAAUGGGCAGACAGACAGAGCUUUUCAGACAAAAAAGUCAUUGUCGGACUGAGGAUUUAGCUCAGUGGUUUCGCCGCCUGCUGUGCAAGGGCAAGGACCCGAGUUCGAUCCCCAGUACCAAGAAAAAAAGUCAUUGUCAUAUCCUAUAGGUCUAUGAGGGAGAAAAACCUAAAUGAGCCAAGAGAAAGAUAGGGCUCAUUGGCCCACUGGCCCAUGUACACAGCAGACAUGACUGAGACAAGGAGUCUUCCAGUCCUGGGUCUGCUGUGUGAUGCUGAAUCAGGUGUUGCCCCUCUCUGAACUUCUUUGGCCACUGCAAAAACAAGGAGUCGAAGCAGGUGAUUUUUGAGGCAAUAAGAUUCUCAGAUGCUGUAGCAGUUGUUUAAACAAGGAAAGGGGCUUGGUUAGACCCUCCUCUUCGGGAGCCUGGUUAGAGCCAUAAAAGCCCCGUCCCCAGAAGCUCCCCAGAGCCUCCCUCAACAGCUUUCUCCCCCUCCCAAGCCUGCUAGUCUGGGUUGAAGCACCAGAGGCCAACAGCCCCUCCUGCCCCCCAACACAUAUAAACACACACACUCCUCUAAGAUGCAG